AGUGUAGGGGAGGCAGGUAGCCUAGUGGUUAGAGUGUAGGGGAGGCAGGUAGACUAGUGGUUAGAGUGUAGGGGAGGCAGGUAGACUAGUGGUUAGAGUGUAGGGGCGGCAGGUAGCCUAGUGGUUAGAGUGUAGGGGAGGCAGGUAGCCUAGUGGUUAGAGUGUAGAGGAGGCAGGUAGCCUAGUGGUUAGAGUGUAGAGGAGGCAGGUAGUCUAGUGGUUAGAGUGUAGAGGAGGCAGGUAGACUAGUGGUUAGAGUGUAGAGGAGGCAGGUAGACUAGUGGUUAGAGUGUAGAGGAGGCAGGUAGUCUAGUGGUUAGAGUGUAGAGGAGGCAGGUAGCCUAGUGGUUAGAGUGUAGAGGCGGCAGGUAGCCUAGUGGUUAGAGUGUAGAGGAGGCAGGUAGACUAGUGGUUAGAGUGUAGAGGAGGCAGGUAGACUAGUGGUUAGAGUGUAGAGGAGGCAGGUAGACUAGUGGUUAGAGUGUAGAGGAGGCAGGUAGACUAGUGGUUAGAGUGUAGAGGAGGCAGGUAGACUAGUGGUUAGAGUGUAGAGGAGGCAGGUAGACUAGUGGUUAGAGUGUAGAGGUGGCAGG
Long non-coding RNA from Oncorhynchus keta (chum salmon), 593 nucleotides. RefSeq lists it as uncharacterized. The record is from RefSeq and is a predicted model, not a curated record. The transcript has 4 exons. NCBI's taxonomy places the organism in Eukaryota, Metazoa, Chordata, Actinopteri, Salmoniformes, Salmonidae.